Molecule: unclassified non-coding RNA, 102 nt
Organism: Vulpes vulpes (red fox)
Lineage: Eukaryota; Metazoa; Chordata; Mammalia; Carnivora; Canidae
Rfam family: Y RNA
About the family: Y RNAs are components of the Ro ribonucleoprotein particle (Ro RNP), in association with Ro60 and La proteins. The Y RNAs and Ro60 and La proteins are well conserved, but the function of the Ro RNP is not known.
Source: Ensembl
GGCUGGUCCAAGGGCAGUGGUGUUUAAAAUUAAUUGAUCACCACCAGUUACAGAUUUGUUUGUUCCUUCUCCAUUCCCACUGAUUCACUUCACUAGUCUUGU